UCAGUGACACUAGGAACAGGAAGGG
RNAcentral lists this non-coding RNA (25 nucleotides) under Cricetulus griseus (Chinese hamster). Lineage: Eukaryota; Metazoa; Chordata; Mammalia; Rodentia; Cricetidae. The record is from RNAcentral.